RNAcentral lists this ribosomal RNA (253 nucleotides) under uncultured bacterium. Its description in RNAcentral is "partial 16S ribosomal RNA". It matches the Rfam family "Bacterial small subunit ribosomal RNA", at positions 524 to 776 of the family's 1533-position model. The record is from RNAcentral.
UACGGAGGGGGCUAGCGUUGUUCGGAAUUACUGGGCGUAAAGCGCACGUAGGCGGCUUUGUAAGUUAGAGGUGAAAGCCCGGAGCUCAACUCCGGAACUGCCUUUAAGACUGCAUCGCUUGAACGUCGGAGAGGUAAGUGGAAUUCCGAGUGUAGAGGUGAAAUUCGUAGAUAUUCGGAAGAACACCAGUGGCGAAGGCGGAUCUCUGGGCCUUACCUGACGCUGAGGCGCGAAAGCUAGGGGAGCGAACGGG